AGAGUUUGAAUCCUGGCUCAGGACGAACGCUGGCGGCGUGCCUAAUACAUGCAAGUCGAGCGAAUCUUUGGGUGCUUGCACCCAUUGGUUAGCGGCGGACGGGUGAGUAACACGUGGGCAACCUGCCUGUAAGACUGGGAUAACUUCGGGAAACCGGAGCUAAUACCGGAUAAUCCUUUUCCUCUCAUGAGGGAAAGCUGAAAGAUGGCGCAAGCUAUCACUUACAGAUGGGCCCGCGGCGCAUUAGCUAGUUGGUGAGGUAACGGCUCACCAAGGCGACGAUGCGUAGCCGACCUGAGAGGGUGAUCGGCCACACUGGGACUGAGACACGGCCCAGACUCCUACGGGAGGCAGCAGUAGGGAAUCUUCCGCAAUGGACGAAAGUCUGACGGAGCAACGCCGCGUGAGCGAUGAAGGCCUUCGGGUCGUAAAGCUCUGUUGUUAGGGAAGAACAAGUAUCGGAGUAACUGCCGGUACCUUGACGGUACCUAACCAGAAAGCCACGGCUAACUACGUGCCAGCAGCCGCGGUAAUACGUAGGUGGCAAGCGUUGUCCGGAAUUAUUGGGCGUAAAGCGCGCGCAGGCGGUUCCUUAAGUCUGAUGUGAAAGCCCCCGGCUCAACCGGGGAGGGUCAUUGGAAACUGGGGAACUUGAGUACUGAAGAGGAAAGCGGAAUUCCACGUGUAGCGGUGAAAUGCGUAGAGAUGUGGAGGAACACCAGUGGCGAAGGCGGCUUUCUGGUCAGUAACUGACGCUGAGGCGCGAAAGCGUGGGGAGCAAACAGGAUUAGAUACCCUGGUAGUCCACGCCGUAAACGAUGAGUGCUAAGUGUUAGAGGGUUUCCGCCCUUUAGUGCUGCAGCAAACGCAUAAGC
RNAcentral lists this ribosomal RNA (875 nucleotides) under Bacillus sp. (in: firmicutes). RNAcentral describes it as "bacterial SSU rRNA". It matches the Rfam family "Bacterial small subunit ribosomal RNA", at positions 8 to 865 of the family's 1533-position model. The record is from RNAcentral. Lineage: Bacteria; Bacillati; Bacillota; Bacilli; Caryophanales; Bacillaceae.